This 420-nucleotide ribosomal RNA is filed under the name Culaea inconstans (brook stickleback). RNAcentral's name for it is "partial 16S ribosomal RNA". It matches the Rfam family "Bacterial large subunit ribosomal RNA", at positions 1996 to 2567 of the family's 2925-position model. The record is from RNAcentral. Lineage: Eukaryota; Metazoa; Chordata; Actinopteri; Perciformes; Gasterosteidae.
AUGGCAUAACGAGGGCUUAACUGUCUCCUUUUUCCAGUCAAUGAAAUUGAUUUCCCCGUGCAGAAGCGGGGAUAAAUACAUAAGACGAGAAGACCCUAUGGAGCUUUAGACACUAAAAUGGCCCAUGUCAAUAACCCCAAGAAAAAGGAAAAAACCAAAUGGGACCCACCUUGAUGUCUUUGGUUGGGGCGACCGCGGGGAAAUAAAUAACCCCCACGUGGAGUGGGAGCACCUCCUCCUAAAACUAAGAGUGACAACUCUAAUCAACAGAAAUUCUGACCAGGAAGAUCCGGCAAUGCCGAUCAACGGACCUAGUUACCCUAGGGAUAACAGCGCAAUCCUCUUUUAGAGCCCAUAUCGACAAGAGGGUUUACGACCUCGAUGUUGGAUCAGGACAUCCUAAUGGUGCAGCCGCUAUUA